AACGCACAUUGCGCCCGCCAGUAUCCUGGCGGGCAUGCCUGUUCGAGCGUCAUUUCAACCCUCAGGCCCUGCCUGGUGUUGGGGACCUGCACCCGCAGCCCCCUAAAGACAGCGGCGGGUUCGACCCGGCUCCGAGCGUAGUAAUACACGUCGCUCUGGGUGGCGGGCGGGCCCCGGCCGUAAGCCUAUUUCUUAAGGUUGACCUCGGAUCAGGUAGGAAUACCCGCUGAACUUAA
This 236-nucleotide unclassified non-coding RNA is filed under the name uncultured fungus. Its description in RNAcentral is "sequence contains ITS2". The stretch from base 1 to 52 matches the Rfam family "5.8S ribosomal RNA", at positions 103 to 154 of the family's 154-position model. Lineage: Eukaryota; Fungi. The record is from RNAcentral.